Molecule: unclassified non-coding RNA, 240 nt
Filed under: Hevea brasiliensis (rubber tree)
Lineage: Eukaryota; Viridiplantae; Streptophyta; Magnoliopsida; Malpighiales; Euphorbiaceae
Source: RNAcentral
GCCAUAUUGCUGAAAAUAUGCAGGUACUGAAAGUGAAAAAAAUAAAGAUAACCCAACUAUGAUGAUAUUCCGAGAGCUUCCAGCCUCGCUAUACCGUAGAUUUGACAAUCCUCUAUAGCGUAGAUUUGACAAUCCUAGUGCUGCAAGCAUUGCCCACAUGAAGCAAAGGAGAGCAGCAACCAUUACUUCAGGAAUUGAAGCAAUAAAGCCUCCAACUUUACCUGCUAUGUAACACAUCAU